GAAGAACUCAUUAUUUCUCCACUUGCAAGCAAAAUAAUAAAAGAAAAUAAACAGGAAGAUAGGAAGAAUAUGUUUUAUUCCAUCAAGUUUUAACAGCACUGUUAUUUUGCUUGGCCCUUUAUGGGCCAACAUAAAAUAUUUUUAGGUGCUUAUGUCAGCACAUCUUUGCUGCUCAGCACUGAUGAGUCCACCUGGGAAGACUGUGAUGGCUUCUCUGGCCAGCUCUUCAUGGCUUUAUUUGGAUAAAUGUAACAAAGUCAAUUGCUUCAAAUGAAAAAUCUGUCACUAUCUUUACAGUACCUCUGGGGGUACAUUUAUGUUGCUCUGUAGAUUGCACCCU
RNAcentral lists this long non-coding RNA (340 nucleotides) under Anas platyrhynchos platyrhynchos (common mallard). Its description in RNAcentral is "lncRNA (ENSAPLG00000017609.1)". Lineage: Eukaryota; Metazoa; Chordata; Aves; Anseriformes; Anatidae. The record is from RNAcentral.